GGAAUAUUGCGCAAUGGGCGAAAGCCUGACGCAGCGACGCCGCGUGGGGGAUGAAGGUCUUCGGAUUGUAAACCCCUUUCGGGAGGGAAGAUGGAGCUAGCAAUCGUUCGGACGGUCCCUCCAGAAGCAGCCACGGCUAACUUCGUCCCAGCAGCCGCGGUACUACGAAGGUGGCAAGCGUUGUUCGGAUUUACUGGGCGUACAGGGAGCGUAGGCGGUUCGGUAAGCCCUCUGUGAAAUCUCCAGGCUUAACCUGGAACAGUCGGAGGGGACUGCCGGGCUAGAGGACGGGAGAGGAGCGCGGAAUUCCCGGUGUAGCGGUGAAAUGCGUAGAGAUCGGGAGGAAGGCCGGUGGCGAAGGCGGCGCUCUGGAACGUUUCUGACGCUGAGGCUCGAAAGCGUGGGGAGCAA
RNAcentral lists this ribosomal RNA (411 nucleotides) under uncultured bacterium. Its description in RNAcentral is "bacterial SSU rRNA". It matches the Rfam family "Bacterial small subunit ribosomal RNA", at positions 358 to 771 of the family's 1533-position model. The record is from RNAcentral.